Molecule: small RNA, 563 nt
Filed under: Pongo abelii (Sumatran orangutan)
Lineage: Eukaryota; Metazoa; Chordata; Mammalia; Primates; Hominidae
Description: processed transcript
Source: RNAcentral
GUGGCCGUUGGGGCGGGAAAAAGCUGUGGAGGGUUCGAGGCUGUGGUGGCAAUUGGGUUUUCCUCAGACUUGAGGCGACGACACACUCAUUGGAAGGGGACGAGGAAUCCAGGGUGUGGCAGAAGACUGGAGAGGAGCUAAGGGGGUCGGUAUGUGUAUCCAGUGAACCCGUCCAGGUGCCCCAAGAGGCUCGUGAAUAUGGACAGACCCAUGAGGCCAAGAUCGGCCUCCCUCGUUGACUUUCAGUUUGGAGUUGUCGCCACAGAGACGAUCGAAGACGCCCUGCUUCACUUGGCCCAGCAGAAUGAGCAAGCAAGUUUGUUUUUCUCCUGUCUGAACAAUGGUGUCUGGAGAAAUCUGUGAGCUACCAGGCUGUAGAAAUCCUAGAAAGGUUUAUGGUAAAACAGGCAGAGAACAUCUGCAGGCAAGCCACAAUCCAGCUAAGAGAUAAUAAGAGAGAGUCUCAGAAUUGGAGGGCUCUGAAACAGCAGCUUGUCAACAAGUUUACUCUCCGUCUUGUGUCAUGUGUUCAGCUGGCCAGCAAACUUUCCUUCCAAAACAAA